This 439-nucleotide ribosomal RNA is filed under the name uncultured bacterium. RNAcentral describes it as "partial 16S ribosomal RNA". It matches the Rfam family "Bacterial small subunit ribosomal RNA", at positions 338 to 795 of the family's 1533-position model. The record is from RNAcentral.
CCUACGGGAGGCAGCAGUGAGGAAUAUUGCACAAUGGGCGAAAGCCUGAAGCAGCAACGCCGCGUGAGCGAUGAAGGCCUUCGGGUCGUAAAGCUCUGUCCUCAAGGAAGCUAAUGCCGGUACUUGCGGAGGAAGCCCCGGCUAACUACGUGCCAGCAGCCGCGGUAAUACGUAGGGGGCUAGCGUUAACCGGAUUUACUGGGCGUAAAGGGUGCGUAGGGGGUUUCUUAAGUCAGAGGGGAAAGGAUACGGCUCAACCGUAGUAAGCCUUUGAAACUGGGGAACUGGAGUGCAGGAGAGGAGAGCGGAAUGCCUAGUGUAGCGGUGAAAUGCGUAGAUAUUAGGAGGAACCCCAGUUGCGAAGGCGGCUUUCUGGACUGUAACUGACACUGAGGCACGAAAGCGUGGGGAGCAAACAGGAUUAGAUACCCGAGUAGUC